AUCUGUAUAAACUUUAGCUCAUACAAGCAAACAAGCAAAAGACAGGGAACUCUGUGAUGAAGAAGUCUCUGCAUGACUCUGGGAAGAAUGGUCCUGUACUCGAGUUUGAGUUUUAAGCUAGGAAAAUGGCUAAUAAUUGAAAAUGAUGGAAACACUAUGGAAUUUUCUUUGUAUGUCAUUAUGAAAUUGCUGUGUAACAAAGAACCAAGAUCCAAAAUAGCAAGCUUGGGAGAGUUUGUGUGCUACAGGAAGAGACGAAUAAGAAACAGAAGAUCAGUCAGCGCACGGGUAGAUGACAUCUGUGCAUCCCAUUGUGUGAAAAAUAAUCUGCUUAUUUUGCCCUUUGUUCUAAAAUAAGUUCAUUACAUAGGCUAUAUCA
Piliocolobus tephrosceles (Ugandan red Colobus) is the source of this 379-nucleotide long non-coding RNA. RefSeq lists it as uncharacterized. The transcript has 3 exons. NCBI's taxonomy places the organism in Eukaryota, Metazoa, Chordata, Mammalia, Primates, Cercopithecidae. The record is from RefSeq and is a predicted model, not a curated record.